RNAcentral lists this ribosomal RNA (25 nucleotides) under Corynelia uberata. RNAcentral's name for it is "partial 28S ribosomal RNA". Lineage: Eukaryota; Fungi; Ascomycota; Eurotiomycetes; Coryneliales; Coryneliaceae. The record is from RNAcentral.
UGAACCUCAGAUCAGGUAGGGAUAC